Molecule: transfer RNA, 65 nt
Filed under: Moringua microchir (lesser thrush eel)
Lineage: Eukaryota; Metazoa; Chordata; Actinopteri; Anguilliformes; Moringuidae
Description: tRNA-Cys
Source: RNAcentral
AGCCUUAUGGUGUUUACAUGCCGGAUUGCAAAUCCGGAGUUGCAGGGGUAACUCUGCUUGGGCUU